Molecule: ribosomal RNA, 558 nt
Filed under: Clostridioides difficile
Lineage: Bacteria; Bacillati; Bacillota; Clostridia; Peptostreptococcales; Peptostreptococcaceae
Description: partial 23S ribosomal RNA
Rfam family: Bacterial large subunit ribosomal RNA
Source: RNAcentral
UUUAACUGAGCGUUCAGUUACUUGACGUAGACCCGAAACCGGGCGACCUACCCAUGAGCAGGAUGAAGCGAAAGUAAAAUUUCGUGGAGGUCCGAACCCACGAGCGUUGAAAAGCUCGGGGAUGACUUGUGGGUAGCGGUGAAAUUCCAAUCGAGCCCGGAGAUAGCUGGUUCUCCCCGAAAUAGCUUUAGGGCUAGCCUCAAGGUGAGAGAUACGGAGGUAGAGCACUGAAUGUCCUAGGGGGUAUUGCACCUACCGAAGACUAUCAAACUCCGAAUGCCGUCAUCUUAUACUUGGGAGUCAGACUGUGGGUGAUAAGAUUCAUAGUCGAAAGGGCAACAGCCCAGAUCGUCAGCUAAGGUCCCUAAAUGUAAGUUAAGUGGUAAAGGAUGUGGGAUUGCACAGACAACCAGGAUGUUGGCUUAGAAGCAGCCACUCAUUCAAAGAGUGCGUAAUAGCUCACUGGUCGAGUGAUCCUGCGCCGAAGAUUUCCGGGGCUAAAACUUACUACCGAAGCUACGGCAUCAGUAAUGAUGGGUAGGGGAGCUUCCCAUACGG